GCUGCAUUCCCAAACAACUCGACUCGUCGAAGGGAUCUCACAUGGGAUUGACGGCCGGCCACGUACGGGAUUCUCACCCUCUAUGACGCCCUGUUCCAAGGAACUUAGGCCGGUAUCGCCCCCGAGAUGCCCUCUACAAAUUACAAUUCGGGCGCCAGAUGGAGCCAGAUUUCAAAUUUGAGCUGUUGCCGCUUCACUCGCCGUUACUGAGGCAAUCCCUGUUGGUUUCUUUUCCUCCGCUUAUUGAUAUGCUUAAGUUCAGCGGGUAUCCCUAUCUAAUCAGAGGUCAAUCUCGAUGGCGAAUAAAAAAGGUCUGUCCGGCAGGAGCCGCCCGGGGGUCGAUCAGCGAGAAUAAAAGUCACUGCGCUGGGACCCCGGCCGAUCCGCCGCUAAUUUUCGGAGGGGCCCCCCGGUGAGAGGGGGCCGCCGCCCAAUACCAAGCAGAGCUUGAGGGUAGAAAUGACGCUCUAAUAGACAUGCCCGCCGGAAUACCAGGGGGCGCAAUGUGCGUUCAAAGAUUCGAUGAUUCACUGAAUUCUGCAAUUCACAUUACUUAUCGCAUUUCGCUGCGUUCUUCAUCGAUGCCAGAACCAAGAGAUCCGUUGUUGAAAGUUUUUUCGCUAUUUUCAUAGUACAUUCUUCAGACGGUUUGUUAAAGCAAGAUUCUGAUGAUCCUCUGGCGGGGGCUCGCCAGCCCCGGGGGGGCCGGCGGGACCAUUUCUGGCCACGCCCCGCCAAAGCAACUCAAGGUAACGUUCACAAAGGGUGGGAGGUCUGGGGACCCCGAAGGGCGCCCCGGGCUCUCUUUAAUGAUCCUUCCGCAGGUUCACCUACGGAAACCUUGUUACGACUUUUACUUCCUCUAAAUGACCAAGUUUGACCAACUUUCCGGCUCUGGGUGGUCGUUGCCGACCUCCCUAAGCUAGUCCGAAGGCCUCACUGAGCCAU
This 948-nucleotide ribosomal RNA is filed under the name uncultured Ascomycota. Its description in RNAcentral is "partial 28S ribosomal RNA". The record is from RNAcentral. Lineage: Eukaryota; Fungi; Ascomycota.